RNAcentral lists this ribosomal RNA (435 nucleotides) under uncultured delta proteobacterium. RNAcentral describes it as "bacterial SSU rRNA". It matches the Rfam family "Bacterial small subunit ribosomal RNA", at positions 1065 to 1498 of the family's 1533-position model. Lineage: Bacteria; Deltaproteobacteria. The record is from RNAcentral.
CCGUGAGGUGUUGGGUGAAGUCCCGCAACGAGCGCAACCCUAUUGUUAGUUGCCAUCACAUAAUGGUGGGCACUCUAAUGAGACUGCCCGGGUCAACCGGGAGGAAGGUGGGGACGACGUCAAGUCAUCAUGGCCCUUACGCCUAGGGCUACACACGUACUACAAUGGUGCAUACAAAGGGUUGCGAAACCGCGAGGUCAAGCCAAUCCCAAAAAAUGCAUCCCAAGUCCGGAUCGGAGUCUGCAACUCGACUCCGUGAAGUUGGAAUCGCUAGUAAUCCCGGAUCAGCAUGCCGGGGUGAAUACGUUCCCGGGCCUUGUACACACCGCCCGUCACACCACGAAAGCUGGUUCUACCCGACAACGGCGGACUAACCCUUCGGGAGGUAGUCGUCUACGGUAGGGCUGGUGAUUGGGGUGAAGUCGUAACAAGGUA